This is an RNA transcript of Hypanus sabinus (Atlantic stingray), 1002 nucleotides long. It is a transcript of the gene named cysteine-rich and transmembrane domain-containing protein 1-like, with no coding region annotated. Lineage: Eukaryota; Metazoa; Chordata; Chondrichthyes; Myliobatiformes; Dasyatidae. The transcript is spliced from 3 exons. The record is from RefSeq and is a predicted model, not a curated record.
CGAGGCGAAGCGGAAAGUUGAUAACAGUGUACUCGCCCCCGCCGCAUGCGCGCUUUGUCAGGUGGCUCAGCCUUGCGGCAUGACGUCAGCGGGGAGCAGAGCCUGAGUGAGCGGACCGCGGAGUACAGGUACAGCGGACACAAAGCAGGCAGGUGAGCUGAGGCUGGCCUUUCGGGAAGAGAGGAUCGCCGCCGCGCCCCUCACAAAAUCUUGCUGAAAUACUUUAGCAUUCUACAUGACUGAGAACCCACCACCUUAUCCUGGGCCAGGCCCAGCAGGUCCAUAUCCACCUUAUCCACAACAAUAUGGUCCAGGUGUUAAUGCUGCUUACCCUAGUUACCCACCUCCGCCAGGAGCGCAGCCUGUAUAUCAAGGUUAUCCACAGUACGGCUGGCAGAAUGCACCACCACAACCAGGGAUGGUUUACACAGAUGUCCCAAAAAAUACAGUUUACGUUGUAGAAGAACGCAGAAGGAAUGAUACUGGGGAUACUUGUUUGACAGCAUGUUGGACUGCGCUCUGCUGUUGUUGCCUUUGGGAUAUGUUGACCUAAAAUUCCUCUGCUACACUGAAAGCCUCACUUCAAGAUUCUCCCACUUCCUGGACCUUCAAAUCAAUGCUUGAAUAUUAACUUUGUUUUUCCUGAAAGGUCCCUGUUCAAAAUUUCAGUUUGAUCAAAUGAUGACAUGAGCUUAAUUAAAUAAUUGGAUGGCAAGCUAUUGGUGUGGUCCAAUGUCUUUUGAUGGCUUUCCCAAAUACAGAGCAACUUAAUUUAUGCAGAAAUUUUUAAAUAAGCUAUAAAUUGUUAUGGAUUUGAUCAAUACAUAAUAGUUGCAAUCGAUUUGUUUGUUAUGUAAAAUUAACACUGAUUUCCUGUGAAACUAUUUAGAUAAAUAAUAACAUUGUAGUCUUUUACUAUGUCACUGGAAUGCGAUAUUUCACAUUAAAAACAGCUGUUCAAUCACAACUUUUUGAAUAAAGUACAUUUAUGCUUUAAUACAA